CCACUCCAAACGCAAGAGUUUGGAUCUACUAACCCCAGACUCCCCGCCCAUCCCACUCCCUCCCCUGCUGCUGCUCUUUAUCCUCCUGGCUCUAAUUGCUUCUCUUUGCUUUCCUUAAUUUUGUCGUUUUUCCAGACAUCAGUCGAAUCCUUUCUAUAUUUUGUCCUCUUUUUUACUCUUCAAGUAGGUAAGGCUAUGGAUUUUGCUCUGAGCUCUAUUGAUGCGUUUUCAUGACUCUAUGACCUGCACUGUGAGUUUUGAUGACUCUUAGACCAAGAGUGUCCAGGUAGGGUGACUUACUCUCAAGUGAAAAAGAUGCUGUUGGUACCUAGCCCUCUGCCCCCAUGUUAGGUUUCUGUGCUUUGUAAUAAAUGGCCGAAAACUUAGUGCCUUAAAAGAAAGGACAAUUACCCAGACACUGCCAUCUGGGUUUUUGUGGCUCAGGAGUUGAGGCCUGAUGCAGCUCGGUCCCCGGCUGUAAUCAGGUGUGAGCGGCUGAGAUCUCACCUCAUCGACACGUGGCAACGUGGUUUUUCCUUCGUCCAGAAGCAGCUCUCUGGCUUCAGGGUGGCACAGUCACUCUUUUAAGAAUUCUUCGCCUGACUAGGUCAGAUCCAUCUAAGGAUUUCCUUUCUGAUGAAUUUUCAGUGGGAUUUGAAUUAUAUCUAAAAUUCCUUCAUUCCCCACCCUCGUAUGAUAGAAUCACACCUACCUGGGGAGGGGCCUCUCACCCCUUUGCCAUGUUCUACUGGGGACAACUGGGCGCUGGCUCCAUCCACUCUCUCCAUCCACUACCCCAAGGGCGUGACGCUGGGCAAUCUUGGUGUCUGGCCAGCACACGUUCCUCUGUCCUCUGGGCUGGUCUUCAGGACGGUUGUCCAUGGUGUCUGCUCUGCCUUUCCUCUUCGCUGCCCAAGGCGUUUCUCCACGGCCUUAGGCCUGCAGCUCAGCCAGAAAGGCCGGAGGGCGUGUUCUCCAGAAGGGCCUUUAGGGGAGACAGGGAUCCACUGGUAAAUCCCCCACGGACCUUUCCCUCAAUGGGAAAAAUGCUUAAGUGCAUUCGGAGGGGCCCCAGCGAAGCUCAGACCCAGUCACCGCCCCCCGUGACUGCCUCAAAACAAAACAAAAAAAUCGCGCGUCGUGGUUUUCCUUUGUGCUCCCUCUCCCUUCCCCAGGUCCUCGCGUUUGUCUGUUUCCCACCCAAACGCAUCCUUCUCUCAGGUUCUGCUUUUGGGGAACCUCCCAGACAACCCAUGUGGUUGGAUUUUGCAGGGCCUCCAUAUCCUUGGUUUCCGCCUCUGCAGAUGCACCCACACAGGGGUCGAGACUUUGGGGGGGGGGAGAAAAAUGCCAGAAAGCUUUACAAAGCAAAACUUGAAUGUGCCCCAUGCAGGCAUCUAUUUGCAUAGUAUUUACAUCGUAUUGGUUAUUUUAAGUAUUUUGGAGACGGUUUAAAGUAUGAGAGGAAGGGUGUAGGUUCCAUGCAAAUACCACAGCCGUUUCCUAUAAGGGAUUUGAUGACUCAGAUUUUAAUUUCAGUGUGGGCUCUUCGGUGGUCACUUUUUAGUAUACCUUCCAGAUAAAGAGUUUGUUUCCUGAUUAUGGAGUUGGAUAUAUAGCAGUUAAGUCUAUCUUACCUUGUCCUGAUUGCUGUUUUAUUAUCCAUAUCCUUAGUCAUUUUUUGCUCUGACCUGAGGGAGGUAAAUUAAAAUUUUCUUUUACAAAUGUGUUUUUCUUUCCUGGUACUUCUGCUUUGUGAUUUUGAUGAUUUCUUAUUUGAUGCAUGGCUAUUAAUUACUGGGAGAGCUGAUCGUGGAGUUAUUUUUAUAAGCACAGCCGUACUUGUCUUGUGUAAUAGUUUUGUCCCGAAUUCAAGCUUGCUGGAUGUAAACAUUGUUCUGUGUCUAUUGCUUGAUAGCAUUGGCCCAUCUUUUAUUUUCAAUCAUUCUUUAUCACUUUGCUGCCCUUGUGUCGGGAAUAUAAUUGAGUUUGCUCUUCGCUUUAAGCGGAGUCUUUUUCUUGAUGCAGGCUCCCUUUAUGUGACAUUUGCUUUUAGUUACAUCUUCGCUUUCUCUUGUGGAAUUGGAUAAUUGGAGUCAAAACAUUGUUUCCUUCAAAAAACUAUUUUUAAAUACAAGUUGGCUAACGCUCCCAAAUCUCAAUUGUAUUUUCGCUACAGAGUAUACAUCGUUCAAGGCCAUCCUGUAUAUAAGUUAGAAAGGAGCAAACACGUGCAGGUGCCUGUACACACACGUGUGCAUGCACGUCCCUGUACACACACGUAGCUAAUGUGACUGGAGCAGAUUUGGAAGGUUUAUAUGAACCUGGUUUAUUUGGUUUGAUUUGCAACUGCCCUCUUUAGUUUUAUAGAAAGAAGAACCCAAUUCUCACAAUGCAACCUUUUUUUUUUUUUUUUUGGCAAGUGAACAAUAUUUUGGGAUGUAAAGGAGCUCUUUGACAGGUUUCUUCAGAGACCUAACUUAAGAACUAGGCACCAAGGGGUGAGGGACUGAUGGGGAGUUGGGGUUAGUGGCUGCAGAUUAUUGCCUCUAGAACGGAGAUGCCAUGAGGUCCUGCUGCACAGCAUCUGGAACCGCGUCCAGUCUCGGGAUAGAGCCUGAUGGAAGAUGAUAUAAGGAAAGGAAUGUCCAUAUACGUAUGACGGGGUCACUUUGCUGUGCAGCAGAAAGGAGCACCCUGCCGUAAAUCAACUAUAAUUUUAAAAAGUGGAUUUUUGUUUGUUUUUUUAAAAGCUUGGCAGCCGAAAAAGUUCUUGGGUUAACCGGAGCAUUGAUGCAGGCCUGUUCUGAGCUCUCACAUGGAUGGCUGAUCUGUGUCUAAUGCUGGAUGUGGUGAUUAUGACGCAAAGGACAGGGAGCCCGUUGUGUUAAACGUGAUAGAUUCUCACUGAGAAUCAAAGGGGUAUAAAGAGGGAGAGAAAAGGACUGAGUUUCCAGCAGGGAGGGAGAGCAUCUCCUUGGUAGAGGUGGUGUCCCUUUUAAAACUUUCUUCUAACCUUUUUGUUAGAUGUAUUCGUAGGUGUUUUUUCUGAUAAUUUGAAUUCCUUUCUUUGUUUUUUCCCCUAGGGCUUGUUUUUAGAACCAUAACUGUAUACAUUGAAUCCAUUGUUUCUUUAGAUAGUAGCUUUUGACUGUUUAUAACAGUAAGAGUUAAUAUAUUUUCACUUGUGUCCUCAUUUCUUCUGAUACUCCAUUGUAGCUGAUUUUAUUACUUUUUACUUCUGCCAAUAGCUGCCUGUAUAAUUUAGGUAAACUUCGUAUAUCUUAAUUUUUUAUUAUCAGCUGUUCAGUGGUGGGGCUCCAUGUUCACUGUGCUCUCCCAAUUUUUGGCAUUUGUUAGGUAAAUGCUAUUUGGUAGCUUGAAUUUUGCUUUUUUUCUCCUCAGCUAAAAUUGAUACUCAUGGCCUCGCCUGGUUCUUUCUAUUGAUUAUGGUAGAAGUAGUAUCAUGGUUUUUUCCCCUAUUCGUUACAAACUAUUUUACCAGUUCUUAUUUUUUUGUAAUUUGUGACAUAGGAAGUGCACGUUUUUUGUUUUGGGCUGUACCCAUGUCAUGUGGAAGUUCCCAGGCCAGGGAUCUAACCCUCGCCACUGUAGGAACCAGAGCCACGGCAGUGAAAAUGCCAGAUCCUUAACCGACUGAGCCACAGGGGAGCUCGUAAAGUAUAAAUAUUUUAGUGCUGUGAUAUUUCUUAUGUUCUAUCAAAGUUUCUUUUAAUUUUGUGUCCAUUCUUCCCCCGCUUGAGAGCAGAUGAAUACUCUGAUACUUCCUCUGGUUGACUGAAUAUUUAGAUAGGACUCUGCCUCAUCUGGAGUUUAAGGGUGUGCUUUGUCAUCAGAACUGUAAGUUUUCUUAUUUUCUUAUUUGAAAGAUGACUCCCUGGCGAGGACCUCUGGUGGGAAAGUGGAGUGAUAGAGCCUUGAUGUUCCUUGUUUGCUCUUUCCCAGACCAUCCGUGACUACACAAUCCAGUGUCUGCACUAAUAAAAAAAGAGUCACCAGGUUAGGACCAAACUGUUGGAAAAAUCAAGAAAAACAUCACCUGAGCUGCAUUGAGUGAAAUUUCAAUUUCCUCUUGAAAACUUAAAAGACAGGUUAUAUUUUGGAAAGUCGUCCAAAAAUGAUUUUCAACACUUGCUAGGAGAUAGAAUGAAAAUAAACCAGAGUCCAAAUUUAGCCCAACAACCCUCACAUAUGGUUUUAAGCUAAUACAUUUUUCUUGACAGCUGAACGAAAACUAAGAAGGUAAUUAAUGAUUAUAUUCAUAGGUUUUUCCUACUAUGGCUUUAAUCAGCAUUUGGUUUUACUUACAUUUAUGACGGACUCAAAAUAAAUGACUUUUUUGACUAAAUAUUAUCACCAAAUGCGGGUUGUUGCGUUUAUUCUGCCACUCAGUCAUGGAAUCACCGUAGUUUGAAACAUCUCGAGGUUGUCUUGUACAGUUGUCUUCAGGGCUGACAAUGCCUGCCUUGUGCAGCUCUCGCUAUACUUUGAAGGAGCAUCCAAGCAUUGGCAGCGGUCUAAAGAAAUUUGGAUUAAAGUUUGGGAAUACGUUUGCUGGAUCUGCCGGAUUACUAAUAAAAAGCCUAUGAUGCUGUAUCACUUAGGAUGUUGCCUUUCGCUUCAAGUAACAUAAUGUAGAUUCUAAUAAAAAAAAUGAUAGGGGAGUUCCCGUUGUGGCGCAGUGGUUAACGAAUCCGACUAGGAACCAUGAGGUUGCGGGUUCGGUCCCUGCCCUUGCUCAGUGGGUUAAGGAUCCGGCGUUGCCGUGAGCUGUGGUGUAGGUUGCAGACGCGGCUCGGAUCCCGCGUUGCUGUGGCUCUGGCGUAGGCCGGUGGCUACAGCUCCGAUUCAACCCCUAGCCUGGGAACCUCCAUAUGCCGUGGGAGCGGCCCAAAGAAAU
RNAcentral lists this long non-coding RNA (4921 nucleotides) under Sus scrofa (pig). RNAcentral's name for it is "lncRNA (ENSSSCG00000052039.1)". The record is from RNAcentral. Lineage: Eukaryota; Metazoa; Chordata; Mammalia; Artiodactyla; Suidae.